UUUUUGUUUGCAUUUUUUUAUUUUUUUCAAUUCACGAAAGUAAAGAGAAAGAGAGAGAGAUAGUGUGUGUGUGUAGUUUUAUUUUGGUGUGUGUAUUUUGUGU
This 103-nucleotide non-coding RNA is filed under the name Pycnococcus provasolii. Lineage: Eukaryota; Viridiplantae; Chlorophyta; Pseudoscourfieldiophyceae; Pseudoscourfieldiales; Pycnococcaceae. The record is from RNAcentral.